UACAGAGGGGGCGAGCGUUGUUCGGAAUUACUGGGCGUAAAGGGCGCGUAGGCGGCCAACUAAGUCGGACGUGAAAUCCCUCGGCUCAACCGAGGAACUGCGUCCGAUACUGAAAGGCUUGAAUCCGGGAGAGGGAUGUGGAAUUCCAGGUGUAGCGGUGAAAUGCGUAGAUAUCUGGAGGAACACCGGUGGCGAAGGCGGCAUCCUGGACCGGCAUUGACGCUGAGGCGCGAAAGCUAGGGGAGCAAACGGG
RNAcentral lists this ribosomal RNA (253 nucleotides) under uncultured bacterium. RNAcentral describes it as "partial 16S ribosomal RNA". It matches the Rfam family "Bacterial small subunit ribosomal RNA", at positions 524 to 776 of the family's 1533-position model. The record is from RNAcentral.